This 504-nucleotide ribosomal RNA is filed under the name uncultured bacterium. RNAcentral's name for it is "partial 16S ribosomal RNA". It matches the Rfam family "Bacterial small subunit ribosomal RNA", at positions 30 to 523 of the family's 1533-position model. The record is from RNAcentral.
AUUGAACGCUGGCGGCAUGCCUUACACAUGCAAGUCGAACGGCAGCAUAGAGAGCUUGCUCUCUGAUGGCGAGUGGCGAACGGGUGAGUAAAGCAUCGGAACGUACCGUGUAGUGGGGGAUAACGUAGCGAAAGUUACGCUAAUACCGCAUACGCACUGAGGUGGAAAGCAGGGGAUCGCAAGACCUUGCGCUAUACGAGCGGCCGAUGUCAGAUUAGCUAGUUGGUAGGGUAAAGGCCUACCAAGGCGACGAUCUGUAGCGGGUCUGAGAGGAUGAGCCGCCAAACUGGGACUGAGACACGGCCCAGACUCCUACGGGAGGCAGCAGUGGGGAAUUUUGGACAAUGGGGGCAAACCUGAUCCAGCCAUGCCGCGUGAGUGAAGAAGGCCUUCGGGUUGUAAAGCUCUUUCGGCCGGGAAGAAAUCGCACAGGCUAAUACUCUGUGUGGAUGACGGUACCGGCAUAAGAAGCACCGGCUAACUACGUGCCAGCCGCCGCGGUAA